This 28-nucleotide non-coding RNA is filed under the name Rattus norvegicus (Norway rat). The record is from RNAcentral. Lineage: Eukaryota; Metazoa; Chordata; Mammalia; Rodentia; Muridae.
UACACAGACUUGAUGAGUGGAUCAUGAU